GUUAGGAAUAUUGGACAAUGGGCGAAAGCCUGAUCCAGCCAUGCCGCGUGAACGAUGAAGGCCUUCGGGUUGUAAAGUUCUUUAGCCGAUGAUUAUAAUGACUGUAGUCGGAAAAUAAGCCCCGGCUAACUUCGUGCCAGCAGCCGCGGUAAUACGAAGGGGGCGAGCGUUAUUCGGAAUCACUGGGCGUAAAGCGUGCGUAGGCGGUUUUGUAAGUUAGGAGUGAAAGCCCAGGGCUCAACCUUGGAAUUGCUCUUAAAACUGCAAGGCUCGAAUCUCGGAGAGGAUAGCGGAAUUUCCAGUGUAGCAGUGAAAUGCGUAGAUAUUGGAAGGAACACCAGUGGCGUAAGCGGCUAUCUGGACGAGUAUUGACGCUGAGGCACGAAAGCGUGGGGAUCAAACAGGAUUAGAAACCCCUGUAGUCC
This 425-nucleotide ribosomal RNA is filed under the name uncultured bacterium. RNAcentral describes it as "bacterial SSU rRNA". It matches the Rfam family "Bacterial small subunit ribosomal RNA", at positions 354 to 796 of the family's 1533-position model. The record is from RNAcentral.